Molecule: long non-coding RNA, 2687 nt
Organism: Colius striatus (speckled mousebird)
Lineage: Eukaryota; Metazoa; Chordata; Aves; Coliiformes; Coliidae
Exons: 2
Source: RefSeq, a predicted model, not a curated record
AGAUUGGAAGCCCAUAAAAAUGAUAAUCUCAGGCUUCAGUGUAACUUGGUGGAAGGGUUUUCUCCCGUCCUUUCAUUAAGGGUGGAUUUCGUGAUCUUCCUUAAAUAACAACAAGGAUUCUCAUGAGGAAUCUCCCUCCCAAAAACUGAUUGCAUCACCAUUAGGAAAUAGGAAGCCAAGAAGCUAGAAAAAAGCAGGAUCACAGGUUAGUUCAAGGGCCAAAGCCCUGCAGAGUGAAUGGCUCCUGACUUUAUGGGAUGGGAGAAAAAGAGGGAAUUGGAAGUAAUUUCUGAUCACAGAGUGAAGCUUUUGACAUCAGGGUUCUGCCUGGAAGAGUUGUGCACAUGAGCUAUGCCAAGCUGCUAGCCACAAGCCUGACCAUGAGUCUGGCUGUGGAGCAAAGCCCCAUCCUCCUUGUCCUGCACCUCCUCGGUGUGAAGAGAAACAUCCUGUCUCAUUUCAGCCUGGCUUGGUACAGCAUCCUCCUCUCCAGCCCCAAAUUCAGUAUGUCUGGCUAUUGCCUGGGAAAGGAAAAUACCCAACUCAUCAACCAUCUCCAUGAGUCUCAACCAGGUGGCCAAGAGGAGGAGAAGGAAAGAGUUGGCUGUCUUAGUGGGGGUGGGUAGUUUCAGGAAAUAAUUAUCCCAGAUGCCAGAAUAGGAGAAAAUGGAAAGUGUAAACUGUAAUCAGAUGUUAAGUUGCUUUUCUUCUGCUAAUUGAAAUAAUGUUUUCUCUGCUACCCACCACUCUACCCCUUUCAGAUGCUAAUCCCUAUCAAACACAGCCUUACAAUUACAAAUUCAUAGGCAUCUUUCCCAGGAGCAGAAAUUGCUUUGCCCUGUAACCUCUAAGAUGAGGUCUUAAUAGGAAUUCAGGAGCAAUCUCUGGUAAAGCUUCAUUAGCUGGAGAGAAUAGACAAGGGCAAGUUGCAGUGCUCCCUAACCACUCUAGGGAAAAAUUAAUUUAAAUCACUUUGUGAAGUAACAAGGCCAGAUAAUAUGUUUCCUUCUUGGAUUAUUGUUUUCUGACACCCUAAUACGCUGCUAGAUUAGGUUGCUUUGCCUGCCUUGGUGGUGGUCCGUGCAAAAGUUGUGGUUUAAGGAGAGCAGCAGCCUCUGGAAAGAGAAACACCAACCCCUUGGGCCAGAGCUGGAUGGAGACGAAGCGAGGAUCUGGCUGUUUCUCACCAGGUUGGGUUGUUGGGAGGCUGUUGGGGAGACAGGUGACAGCCACCUCCAGUACAACUUCCAACAGAGCCUGGAGGAGAAACUUGGCUAUUGAAUGUUAGACUUCAGUGUUCCCCUGGUUGAAAACUGGUCCAAGUCAGUGGAAGGGUAUCCUGCUGAUUCAGACAGCUCUGGAUUUCCUACGUGGAGGCUGGAGCCUGAGCAAUGCUGAGCCCCCUGUUCACGAAGGAUGGACUAAGGCUGGAUGCUCUUCGUGCUGGGCUUGCAGUGUGAUGUGGUUUUAUGGAGCUUUGCAGGGAGCCAAGCGAGGGGCCACGGGAAGAUGCAGCGAUAAGGGCUUGGCAGAGGGGCUGGGACUCGUCCCAGAGCCCCAGGCUCACAGACAGACUUCGGUGGGUGCUGCCAGCACCAGGCAUUAUUAACCUGGGAGCUGUCAUGCAGAAUGGGCCUGUCUGGCUAAACCCUGAGGGGGAUGAGGGCAUCAUUCAACAAAGAGACAAAGAGUUCAAAGGGCCUUUCUGUGGCAAACAGUGCUGAUCAUCUCAGCUGAUUAAAUAGGUUCCCGACACAUCAGGGAGCACCUAGGAGACCACACUGAAGCUGGGAAGAUUUAUGGGGAGCUACCUGAAUUGGAGAGGGAAUAUAUUGGUUUUAUUCCUGGCUUCCAAAGGGGACUGGUGGUUUUUUCAAAGCAAAGACAAGGCUGGAGAGAGAUGCAUCGAGGUAGAGGGAUGGACGGACAGAUUCCCAACCUAUCUAACCAUUUUCUUGUCCCCACUUACACUGGGGAAGAUAAAAACCCCAUGGCACCUAGCUCUACCUUCUGCCAUCCUCCCAUCCAAAACUGCAACACUUAAAUGGGAUAAAACCCUCAAGGAUGGGGUUUCAUGUCACCUCAGCUCCUGCAGUCACUUGAAUUUCUUUCAUCCCCAUCAGCAAUCCCUUGCCUUCCAAGCCCUGAUAAAUUCUGGACCACCUUUGCUGACUAUGAGCCCUAUAAUUUGACUGCUCUGAGCGCAAUUAAGGGCACCCUGGAGUCCUGCUUGCCUUUGCUAUCUUGCAACAGGCAGGGCCUGGCCUCCUGGAAAGCAGAGGAGCAUCAGGGAAGGCUAUAUCCCAUGAGGAAGACAUCCCUGUGUGACCCUCUUGGUCCCCAAUGGGUACAGAAGAGCCUGUUUUCAGUAACAUCUCCUGCUCAGCACCAUUUGAGGACGGUGCUUUCCUUCCUCUAGUCCCCACAGCCUUACUGGAGCAAAGGAAGAGCCCCAGGCAGAGUGAAGAGCAUCCUCGAUGCAGGAGAUCAGCCUUGAACAUCCUUGAAACAUGGGGUUCAACCUGCCAGUGCCCUGCCAGCUGGCACCAGCCCUAUUUAUUUCCACACUCAUCCUCAACAGCAGCAUGUUUUCAGGUGGCACCUCUCUUCUUUCUCAUUACCAGAGCUUUUGUCAGGCAUCUGAAGGGGAAAAAACAAUAAAGGGGCCGUGGUCAGCAAGAGAGAAA